RNAcentral lists this ribosomal RNA (228 nucleotides) under uncultured Lactobacillus sp. RNAcentral's name for it is "partial 16S ribosomal RNA". It matches the Rfam family "Bacterial small subunit ribosomal RNA", at positions 132 to 355 of the family's 1533-position model. The record is from RNAcentral. Lineage: Bacteria; Bacillati; Bacillota; Bacilli; Lactobacillales; Lactobacillaceae.
AAGAGAUCGGGAUAACACCUGGAAACAGAUGCUAAUACCGGAUAACAACAGAUGAUGCCUAUCAACUGUUUAAAAGAUGGUUCUGCUAUCACUCUGGAUGGACCUGCGGUGCAUUAGCUAGUUGGUAGGGUAACGGCCUACCAAGGCGAUGAUGCAUAGCCGAGUUGAGAGACUGAUCGGCCACAUUGGGACUGAGACACGGCCCAAACUCCUACGGGAGGCAGCAGC